UACGUAGGGGGCUAGCGUUGUCCGGAUUUAUUGGGCGUAAAGAGCGUGUAGGCGGCCAGGUAGGUCUGGUGUGAAAACUCGAGGCUUAACCUCGAGAUGUCAUCGGAAACCAUUUGGCUAGAGUCCGGAAGAGGAGAGUGGAAUUCCUGGUGUAGCGGUGAAAUGCGCAGAUAUCAGGAAGAACACCAAUGGCGAAGGCGGAUCUCUGGGCCUGUUCUGACGCUGAGGCGCGAAAGCUAGGGGAGCGAACAGG
Molecule: ribosomal RNA, 253 nt
Filed under: uncultured bacterium
Lineage: Bacteria
Description: partial 16S ribosomal RNA
Rfam family: Bacterial small subunit ribosomal RNA
Source: RNAcentral